This 153-nucleotide transfer RNA is filed under the name Candidatus Woesearchaeota archaeon. RNAcentral's name for it is "tRNA-Asp". Lineage: Archaea; Nanobdellati; Candidatus Woesearchaeota. The record is from RNAcentral.
GCCCUGGUAGUCUAGUGGCCUAGGAUGGGGCCCUGUCGAGGCUCCGACCCGGGUUCAAAACAGAUGAUAAGCCAUCUGGAGGCUUGAGCGACUUUCGCUUCGCUUCAGUCCCUCGGAUAUAUGUUUAUCUCUAUGAAAGUCCCGGCCAGGGCG